UUUUAUCGUAUUUAUAUGUAUGAAUGUCUUGCCAGCAUGUAUGUCUAUGUACCAGGUGCAUACCUGUUGCGUGAGGAAGUCAGAAGAGGGCCUCGGACCCUCCAGAAUCGAGAUGCAUAUGGUUGUGAACUACCAUAUAGGUGCUUGGAAUCAAACCCUGGUCUUCCGCAAAAGCAAUAAGUGCUGUUAACUGCUGAGCCAUCUCUCAAGCCCAAAAUUAGCUUUAAAAUAAUCAACUGUGGAAGCACAAAAUUCCACUGACAGAAAAUGGUAUUAUUCUGUUCUCUUCAUUAAGCUCUUCGUGAUAUACUUUUUGUUUUGCAAACCUGUGUAACUGGAGUCAAAUGAAUGGACAGUCUAGGAAAAAUCGUCCUCCUACUUUUGUUCUCUAUAAUAUUUUAAAAUAUAUCUGACCAAUGUGUUUAUAGUAAAUGUUUAUCUCUUGGACACAUCAAAUGUAUUCAGUUAAUACAGCAGAUUAAUGACAGAAAAGGGGUUUGUUUGUUAAAGUUUGACACAGUGGUUUGUUUUUCUGUUUUAAUUCCUGUCUUUGGAUUCUGUAGUUUUAAAAGUGCUUUUGUAUAAGUUAACCAUCAUGUAAAAUUUUAUAAUACAAGUGCUGAAUGUGUUGAAUGUCAUUUUUCCAGUAUAAUGUCAUGAAACUUCAAAUGAACACUAGGUGUGGUAUUGGACUUGUCUUGGGAUUGAUGGAAAUAUAUGUACUUAUUACAUAUAUUCAUCGACUUUAUUGAUAUGAUUAUAACACAAGAGCAAACAUUUAUUGAGCAUUAAAUGCUUGAUUGAAGUCUU
Molecule: long non-coding RNA, 810 nt
Filed under: Rattus norvegicus (Norway rat)
Lineage: Eukaryota; Metazoa; Chordata; Mammalia; Rodentia; Muridae
Description: long non-coding RNA NONRATT002221
Source: RNAcentral